GGCAUGGCGGUGAACAGAAUUUGCCUGGCGGCACUAGCGCGGUGGUCCCACCUGACCCCAUGCCGAACUCAGAAGUGAAACGCCGUAGCGCCGAUGGUAGUGUGGGGUCUCCCCAUGCGAGAGUAGGGAACUGCCAGGC
RNAcentral lists this ribosomal RNA (139 nucleotides) under Kosakonia oryzae. Lineage: Bacteria; Pseudomonadati; Pseudomonadota; Gammaproteobacteria; Enterobacterales; Enterobacteriaceae. The record is from RNAcentral.